Molecule: transfer RNA, 84 nt
Filed under: Fasciola hepatica (liver fluke)
Lineage: Eukaryota; Metazoa; Platyhelminthes; Trematoda; Plagiorchiida; Fasciolidae
Description: tRNA-Arg
Source: RNAcentral
GUCCUCGUAGCCCAGCUGGUAGAGUACACGUGGUCCUAACGCGGGGGGUGGUAACCAUGCGCGGGUUUGAAUCCCGCGGGGUCA